ACAAGCAGUGGGAGCACAGAGCAAUCUGUGUGACUGCGUACCUUUUGUAUAAUGGGUCAGCGACUUAUAUUCUGUAGCAAGGUUAACCGAAUAGGGGAGCCGAAGGGAAACCGAGUCUUAACUGGGCGUUAAGUUGCAGGGUAUAGACCCGAAACCCGGUGAUCUAGCCAUGGGCAGGUUGAAGGUUGGGUAACACUAACUGGAGGACCGAACCGACUAAUGUUGAAAAAUUAGCGGAUGACUUGUGGCUGGGGGUGAAAGGCCAAUCAAACCGGGAGAUAGCUGGUUCUCCCCGAAAGCUAUUUAGGUAGCGCCUCGUGAAUUCAUCUCCGGGGGUAGAGCACUGUUUCGGCAAGGGGGUCAUCCCGACUUACCAACCCGAUGCAAACUGCGAAUACCGGAGAAUGUUAUCACGGGAGACACACGGCGGGUGCUAACGUCCGUCGUGAAGAGGGAAACAACCCAGACCGCCAGCUAAGGUCCCAAAGUCAUGGUUAAGUGGGAAACGAUGUGGGAAGGCCCAGACAGCCAGGAUGUUGGCUUAGAAGCAGCCAUCAUUUAAAGAAAGCGUAAUAGCUCACUGGUCGAGUCGGCCUGCGCGGAAGAUGUAACGGGGCUAAACCAUGCACCGAAGCUGCGGCAGCGACGCUGAUGCGUUGUUGGGUA
This 666-nucleotide ribosomal RNA is filed under the name Escherichia coli. RNAcentral describes it as "partial 23S ribosomal RNA". It matches the Rfam family "Bacterial large subunit ribosomal RNA", at positions 566 to 1230 of the family's 2925-position model. Lineage: Bacteria; Pseudomonadati; Pseudomonadota; Gammaproteobacteria; Enterobacterales; Enterobacteriaceae. The record is from RNAcentral.